CCCACCCUGGCCCCAUUUCACAGACGAGGAAACAAAGGCCCAAAGACGAGUUCCGCCCGGGGCGGAACGUGGCAGAACUCGCAACAGAACCCAGUCUCCGGAGAUCCCUCUCCUCUGCACCACUUGGACAUUCCACGGAGAGGCAGCGGUGCGCGGGGCGACGGGGAGCUGCCAGAGAAGUCAGUGGUGGGCAUGAGUGGGUGAGACGGGCCCACUGAGGUUUCUGGCAGUGGUGAGCCAUGGAAGGUUUCUGAACAGAGAAGCACUUAUUGGGAGCUGUCAGAGUUGCGCUUCAGGAGAUGAAUCUGGCAACAACGUGGGUUAAUAUUAAUGCCCUGUACAUCCUGAGUACAUGUUUCCAGAAAGAGGUGAUCCGGGAGGCUGCCAAGUGGCCUGCAGGUGACAUCCAGAGGGUAGAAAAUGCCCAUGCAGGUCCACGUGUGGGUCCUUAAGCCGCUUGAGGAAAAGGGAGGAGAAAAGGACAAAGAAGGCUCUCCCCUUCCCUUGGAUCCCCUUCUGCUCCCACAUGCCUAGUGGGAGCCUCCCUCUUCUGCUUGAGCCUUCAAGACAGGUUCAGGACGCUGUCUCCUACCUGGCUGGGCCGGAAAUGAGGAACAGGUUGUAAGCCCUCCUCCACCUGACUUGCCAAGUCCAUACAGGCUGGGGCCUUAGAUCCAACAACUUAGAAAGGCACUGCCCAGAGAGAGAGAGAGAGAUGGAGACAGAGAGAAAGACACAGAGAGAGCAAGUAAGAAUGCGCAGGCAUGUGUGUGUAUCUUCACCACCAUUUCUGGGAAGCAGAGCUCAGUGGUGUUAGAGGCAACUGGGAAGACUGGAUAUGAAAUCAAGACAUCAGGAAUUGCCUUUCUUCUUCCUCCUCCCCACCUUUUCCUUCCCCUCCCAUUCGCUUUCUCUUUCAUCACCAUUGCCCUCACCUUCAUCUGAAUUAAAAGCCAUCUUCUCAGCA
Symphalangus syndactylus (siamang) is the source of this 967-nucleotide long non-coding RNA. RefSeq lists it as uncharacterized. The record is from RefSeq and is a predicted model, not a curated record. Lineage: Eukaryota; Metazoa; Chordata; Mammalia; Primates; Hylobatidae.